This 623-nucleotide long non-coding RNA is filed under the name Aquilegia coerulea. RNAcentral's name for it is "long non-coding RNA (ACOE_LNC001119)". The record is from RNAcentral. Lineage: Eukaryota; Viridiplantae; Streptophyta; Magnoliopsida; Ranunculales; Ranunculaceae.
CUUCCAUCCAGGUGCUCUUGCCAGUGCCGUGAGCUAUCAUUUGAGUCAGCACACUGGCGCUACUGGCUCGGGACAAGUAAAACCCAUCAUGGCCUUUCAGAGAGAUAAAAACAGGUCAGACCCAGAGGCCCCCAACAUCAUUACACAAAAGAGCAGUAAAACAAAUAAAAAGAGAACAGCCCUACGACAGAUAACUGGCUAGCCAAGUCAGUCAGUUCUGAACUUCGGGCAAGCACAAACUGUCCAUCUUUAUGCUCCCUUACUACUGUUCAGACAGCAAUGCAGUCCACCUUGUACAUCAGCAAAUCAUAGUAUCUGCAGUUUUUUUUUUUUUUUGUUCAUUGAGCCUCUCUUCAGCCAGGCCCACGCCGUUGCUUUCACUCUUGCCACUGUCCCUUCCAUAGAGAAUUCAUCACCCCUGAAUAUCAUCUCGUUCCUUGUACACGCACCAUACUACCCAGAUUAUCACCCCUGCAAACUUACUGGGUUUUGCAAAAAAUUAAAAUUUAAUUUAAUGACUUGUAUAUAAUAAAAUUGAAAUUUAAACCCAUAUCGUGUUUCAGCAAAAAAAAAUUGACAUACAGAAAAUUGUCUAGAAUGGCAAAGCUCUGAGCCUCUGCUAU